AUUAAACAUUAAAAAAAAUCGCCAAUCUAAACCUAAUCCCCUCCACCCCGACGAACUCUCUCCCUCUUUCUCCCUUCCUCUCUUGGUUUCGACAACAACGACUGAAUCUCCUACCACCACCCCCGACGACGGCUCCUCUUCUCCGGCGUAGUGUGUUCUCCGGUUCCCCUCUCAUGCUCUUCAUCUCUGGCGUGAAUCUCUUCUUCUCCUGUCAAAAUUGAAGGCUUGAAAAAAUAGGUUUUAUGUUGUUGGAGCUGGACUCUUCACUGGUGUCACAGUAGCUCUCUACCCUGUCUCCGUCGUCAAAACAAGCUUUAAGUUGCUUCCGAAGAUAUCGUUGGGUCUGAGCAAGACAGUGAUAAAGAAAACAGCGACGAGGAGAAGGAAGCUCAAGGCAGUGACACUGACUAUAGUGAAGAUGGAGAAUAAGCCAAUGGCAAGAAACAGAGCACUCGUGGCAGAGGACGUGGUCGCGGCGGCCGCACUGGUAAUGGAAAAGGUUCGCCGGUCGUGAUUCAGUGAAUGAGUCCGCAUGAUGUAGAUGUUUGACUUGGGAUAGAAGCAACUACUGAUUUUAAAAUGAAAAUUACUAUCCAUAAUUUAUGGUCCUAAGACUAAUCAUAUUGAUUAAGUUUUAAGGUCGUGAUGAAUGGUUUGUUUCAUCUUCACACGCAAUCCCUAAGCUUAUUAUCGCACAAUUUCUUUUGUGCUUCUCUUCCGAACAAGUAAAACCAAACUUUUCUAA
Brassica oleracea var. oleracea is the source of this 745-nucleotide long non-coding RNA. RefSeq lists it as uncharacterized. The transcript has 3 exons. The record is from RefSeq and is a predicted model, not a curated record. NCBI's taxonomy places the organism in Eukaryota, Viridiplantae, Streptophyta, Magnoliopsida, Brassicales, Brassicaceae.